AGCAGCCGCCACGGGAAUACGAAGGGGGCUAGCGUUGUUCGGAAUUACUGGGCGUAAAGCGCACGUAGGCGGAUAUUUAAGUCAGGAGUGAAAUCCCAGAGCUCAACUCUGGAACUGCCUUUGAUACUGGGUAUCUUGAGUAUGGAAGAGGUGAGUGGAAUUCCGAGUGUAGAGGUGAAAUUCGUAGAUAUUCGAAGGAACACCAGUGGCGAAGGCGGCUCACUGGUCCAUUACUGACGCUGAGGUGCGAAAGCGUGGGGAGCAAACAGGAUUAGAGACCCCUGUAGUCCCUGUCUCUUAUAC
This 303-nucleotide ribosomal RNA is filed under the name uncultured bacterium. Its description in RNAcentral is "partial 16S ribosomal RNA". It matches the Rfam family "Bacterial small subunit ribosomal RNA", at positions 507 to 807 of the family's 1533-position model. The record is from RNAcentral.